AUUUAUUCCCCGUUAGUCCGGUCGGGUUUUUGUUCUUGUUAGUGUUUGCGUUUGUUUUUCCUGUUUGGCUCCCUUCUCCCCCUAGCGGCUUGGAGCGGUACUGUUCCCGGAGUUCGCUGCGGAAGCCAGCCAAUAGAUCGCUGGAGGGCGGACUCUACUCACCUGUGCCUCGUUUACCACCUCAUCAACCACUGCAUAUAAACGCCGGCUUUUCCUCUGCUCUUCGCCAGAUUGUCUGCUUGCCACCGCGCCCAGCGAUCCCCACACCACCUGGCUUCCCGGCUUACCUAUCGUCUCCUGGAUUUUGGCUCCUUCGCUCCUUGUGUCCUGGUUCCACUCCUACCUGCCUCUUCGUGUUCCUCCAGACCCUGGACUGCUUGGGACACCUUCCCGCACACCUGGAUGAACACCACGGCUCCCCCUGUUCACCUCUCAGACACCCUGCGCCUUCUACCAUCAGUACCGCCCCAGCCGCUUCCCCAGUGUUCUCCGUUGUUUGGUUCAUUUAGUAUUAUCUUUUGUUUUGUUAAUUCCAAUAAAAGCCCCAUUACCUA
Trichomycterus rosablanca is the source of this 554-nucleotide long non-coding RNA. RefSeq lists it as uncharacterized. The record is from RefSeq and is a predicted model, not a curated record. NCBI's taxonomy places the organism in Eukaryota, Metazoa, Chordata, Actinopteri, Siluriformes, Trichomycteridae. The transcript is spliced from 2 exons.